Molecule: long non-coding RNA, 534 nt
Organism: Carassius carassius (crucian carp)
Lineage: Eukaryota; Metazoa; Chordata; Actinopteri; Cypriniformes; Cyprinidae
Exons: 3
Source: RefSeq, a predicted model, not a curated record
AGAAAUCAUACCCAUCUUUGCAGGGCUGUCUUUUAGAAAACAGAACCAUGAAAUCCAGAUUUUUGCUUCUUUGACUGUGGUGCAUUUAAUGUGAUAAAUUGUUUUCUCAACCUCUUCACAGCUCCUGGAGGACAUAUGGAAGGAUGGCCGGCGAGCAGCCAGAAAACAUGAAAAGCUGUUGUUUUGACCUUAAUCUCAACUUUUAAACACAGCAUAUCAGCAUCCUCGUGCACAUUGAUUCCUACCUGCAAAACACAACACACAGACUCAUGACUGGAACUUCUGAUCACACUGCCAAGUCACUCUUGUUGAGUCUCGAGUCUGUCCUCUGGCUGACUCUAUCAUUGGAUCCUUCCCACCGGAGACACUCAGUGUGUUUGGGCAGUGAUUUUAAUAUCAAACGUUGCAUCAUUUGUUCUUUCAGGAUGUAUUGCCAAUGAACAACCAAUCAAGUUUGUUUGGUUAAGUUAUUAGAAGUACAGUCUCCUGGAGUAAAGUGAGGUGUGACAUAAUAGCGUGCAGAUCUCUUGAUAC